RNAcentral lists this ribosomal RNA (537 nucleotides) under Bifidobacterium longum subsp. infantis. Its description in RNAcentral is "bacterial SSU rRNA". It matches the Rfam family "Bacterial small subunit ribosomal RNA", at positions 146 to 697 of the family's 1533-position model. Lineage: Bacteria; Bacillati; Actinomycetota; Actinomycetes; Bifidobacteriales; Bifidobacteriaceae. The record is from RNAcentral.
UCUCCUGGAAAACGGGUGGUAAUGCCGGAUGUUCCAGUUGAUCGCAUGGUCUUCUGGGAAAGCUUUCGCGGUAUGGGAUGGGGUCGCGUCCUAUCAGCUUGACGGCGGGGUAACGGCCCACCGUGGCUUCGACGGGUAGCCGGCCUGAGAGGGCGACCGGCCACAUUGGGACUGAGAUACGGCCCAGACUCCUACGGGAGGCAGCAGUGGGGAAUAUUGCACAAUGGGCGCAAGCCUGAUGCAGCGACGCCGCGUGAGGGAUGGAGGCCUUCGGGUUGUAAACCUCUUUUAUCGGGGAGCAAGCGUGAGUGAGUUUACCCGUUGAAUAAGCACCGGCUAACUACGUGCCAGCAGCCGCGGUAAUACGUAGGGUGCAAGCGUUAUCCGGAAUUAUUGGGCGUAAAGGGCUCGUAGGCGGUUCGUCGCGUCCGGUGUGAAAGUCCAUCGCUUAACGGUGGAUCCGCGCCGGGUACGGGCGGGCUUGAGUGCGGUAGGGGAGACUGGAAUUCCCGGUGUAACGGUGGAAUGUGUAGAUAU